RNAcentral lists this non-coding RNA (26 nucleotides) under Homo sapiens (human). The record is from RNAcentral. Lineage: Eukaryota; Metazoa; Chordata; Mammalia; Primates; Hominidae.
UUCACUGCUUGUUCUCACAUGAAUGC